ACCCGCUGGACUUAAGCAUAUCACUAAGCGGAGGAAAAGAAACUAACUAGGAUUCCCCCAGUAACUGCGAGUGAAGAGGGAAGAGCUCAUCAUUGGAAUCUGGCAGCGUUGCGCUGUCCGAGUUGUAGAUGAGAAGAGUAGGUCAUCUGGACUGCGUGGUGUCCAAGUACAAUAGGCCGUCAGUGGGACAUCAUAGAGGGUGACAAUCCCGUCCUUGACAACCAACGUACGAGUCCAUUACGAUGCCUAUCUCAGAGAGUCGAGCAGUUUGGGAUUUGCUGCUUAAACAUGGGAGGUAGAUUCCUUCUAAAGCUAAAUACAGGCAAGAGACCGAUAGAGAACAAGUACCGCAAGGGAAAGAUGAAAUAGAACUCUGUGAAGGGAGUCAAAAAGACGUGAAAUUGUUGCGAGAGAAGCGAUUCAAGUCAGCGUAGCUAGGCCCAUCAAGCUUCUUGCUUUGGACUAGCUUUGCCAGCGGUCUUGUCCUUUUAGAGACUUGACUUUUGACGUGCCCUGUCCGGUCUAACGGGCAGGCCCUUCGGGGCCAGUGGCAUGGCUGGUGGAAUGGCUUGCAAUCGACCCGUCUUGAAACACGGACCAAGGAGUCUAACAUGUGUGCGAGUAUAAGGGUGGCAAACCCGUAUGCGCAAAGAAAGUGAUAGCCUUUUAUGGCUGAGAAUGGCCUGAUGACCAGACAAGCAAUAUUAUGUUCCUCGUACGGUCAUUGCCCAAGUCCCGUGGUCAGAUCCCAUGGACAUGGAGUUAGAGCAUACAUGCUAGGACCCGAAAGAUGGUGAACUAUGCCUGGACAAAGCGAAGCCAAAGGAAACUCUGGUGGAGGCUUGUAGCGAUUCUGACGUGCAAAUCGAUCGUCUGAUCUGGGUAUAGGGGCGAAAGACUAAUCGAACCAU
RNAcentral lists this ribosomal RNA (911 nucleotides) under Cantharellus phloginus. RNAcentral's name for it is "partial large subunit ribosomal RNA". It matches the Rfam family "Eukaryotic large subunit ribosomal RNA", at positions 23 to 943 of the family's 3401-position model. The record is from RNAcentral. Lineage: Eukaryota; Fungi; Basidiomycota; Agaricomycetes; Cantharellales; Hydnaceae.